AACCGCCGUGUACGGAACCGUACGCACGGUGGUGUGAGAGGUCGGAGCCUUUGGCUCCUCCUACUCGAU
This 69-nucleotide non-coding RNA is filed under the name Trichococcus flocculiformis. Lineage: Bacteria; Bacillati; Bacillota; Bacilli; Lactobacillales; Carnobacteriaceae. The record is from RNAcentral.